Molecule: ribosomal RNA, 461 nt
Filed under: uncultured bacterium
Lineage: Bacteria
Description: partial 16S ribosomal RNA
Rfam family: Bacterial small subunit ribosomal RNA
Source: RNAcentral
GACGAACGCUGGCGGCGUGCUUAACACAUGCAAGUCGAACGGUAAGGCCCUGCUUUUGUGGGGUGCUCAAGUGGCGAAAGGGUGAGUGACACGUGAGUAACCUGCCCUUGACUUUGGGAUAACUUCAGGAAACUGGGGCUCAUACCGGAUAGGAGCUCCUGCUGCAUGGUGGGGGUGGGAAAGUUUCGGCAGUUUGGGAGGGACUCGCGGCUUAUCAGUUUGUUGGUGGGGUAGUGGCUUACCGAGUCUUUGACGGGUAGCCGGCUGGAGAGGGUGACCGGCCCCAUCGGGACGGAGCUACGGCCCAGACUCCUACAGGAGGCAGAAGUGGAGAAUACUGCACAAUGUGCGUAAGCCUGAUGCAGCAACGCUACGUGUGGGAUGACGGCCUACGGGUUGUAAACCGCUUUCGCGUGUGACGAAGCGUGAGAGACGGUAAUGAAGAAAGAAGUACCUGCUAA